AGUGAACGCUGGCGGUAGGCCUAACACAUGCAAGUCGAACGGCAGCACAGUAAGAGCUUGCUCUUACGGGCGGCGAGUGGCGGACGGGUGAGGAAUACAUCGGAAUCUACUUUUUCGUGGGGGAUAACGUAGGGAAACUUACGCUAAUACCGCAUACGACCUACGGGUGAAAGCAGGGGAUCUUCGGACCUUGCGCGAUUGAAUGAGCCGAUGUCGGAUUAGCUAGUUGGCGGGGUAAAGGCCCACCAAGGCGACGAUCCGUAGCUGGUCUGAGAGGAUGAAGAGCGACAGUGGGAGUGAGACGCGGUCCAGGCUCCUACGGGCGGCAGCAGUGGGGAAGAGUGGAAAAUGGGGGCAAGCCUGAUCCAGCCGUAGCGGGUGGGUGAAGAAGGCCUGCGGGUGGGAAAGCCCUUUUGUUGGGGAAGAAAAGCAGCAGGUUAAUACCCCGCUGUUCUGACGGUACCCAAAGAAUAAGCACCGGCUAACUUCGUG
Molecule: ribosomal RNA, 492 nt
Filed under: uncultured bacterium
Lineage: Bacteria
Description: partial 16S ribosomal RNA
Rfam family: Bacterial small subunit ribosomal RNA
Source: RNAcentral